GUCUACAGCCAUGCUAUCCUGAACAAGCCUGAUCCCGUUUGAUCUCAAAAGCUAAACAGGGUCGGGGCUGGUUAGUACUUGGAUGGGAAGACUAGGUGCUGUAGGUA
RNAcentral lists this ribosomal RNA (107 nucleotides) under Pteropus alecto (black flying fox). The record is from RNAcentral. Lineage: Eukaryota; Metazoa; Chordata; Mammalia; Chiroptera; Pteropodidae.